GGGGGUGUUCUGGAUUCUACCCUUGGUUGGAGUGCGCCGCUGCCUGUCGAGAGUCGUGGGUCCUCUCGUUAAAUCCCCCUGCGAAACAAAUAAACGGCAAAACUGAAGAAAUGCCCCUGGCUGCUUAAUGUCAGCCACGUUGGUCUAGCGACACCUGCUAGCUGGAACUAACGACGACAGCAGGCAUGACGCGUGGAGCGGUCCGCGGACCGCGCGUUGUAUCUUCCAUCCGGGGACUGGCUGGUGCCUAAGCGCGUGUCGCGGCAUAGCACCGGCGAGAUUAAAGUGACACUAUACAUGGUAGACGCGGUGCGCGAAGGUCAGGGGCACGUGGGUUCAACUCCCACCACCUCCACCA
This 358-nucleotide transfer-messenger RNA is filed under the name Beta vulgaris subsp. vulgaris (sugar beet). It matches the Rfam family "transfer-messenger RNA". From Rfam's summary of the family: Bacterial tmRNA, also known as 10Sa RNA or SsrA, is named for its dual tRNA and mRNA-like properties. Its role is to liberate the mRNA from a stalled ribosome. Lineage: Eukaryota; Viridiplantae; Streptophyta; Magnoliopsida; Caryophyllales; Amaranthaceae. The record is from Rfam by way of RNAcentral.